This 624-nucleotide long non-coding RNA is filed under the name Homo sapiens (human). Its description in RNAcentral is "long non-coding RNA NONHSAT169052.1". Lineage: Eukaryota; Metazoa; Chordata; Mammalia; Primates; Hominidae. The record is from RNAcentral.
AUUCGAGACGGGCGGGGCGGUUCGGGGCGGCCGGGGGCGGGGCUCGGGAGCCCCCCUUCUCUGGUCCGGGAAGUCCAUACUCUGGAAGGUGUUCCAGGGCUGCGUGAUUCCGGGAGUGUGCUUUCUCUUUCAGGUGUGGGGAAGUCAUGUCUCCUCCUGCAGUUUACAGAUAAGCGGUUCCAGCCUGUCCACGACCUCACAAUAGGUGUGGAGUUUGGAGCUCGUAUGGUCAACAUUGAUGGAAAACAAAUCAAACUGCAAAUCUGGGAUACGAUAAAGAAAUGGGAACAGAAAGAUUAAUAUGGUGUGUUCAAUAUCAUAUUUGGGAUUGAAAAAAAUGACAUACACUCCGUUUCCAGUCCUAUUUCCAGUUGUUCUUUUAUGAGGAUAUUGGGAAAUGUAUGCAAAUGUCUUCAUCGUCUUUAUCGUGCUGACUGGGGUGCCACAGGCUGGGCAAGAAUCCUUCCGUUCUAUCACCCGUUCCUACUACAGGGGAGCAGCUGGAGCACUGCUGGUGUACGACAUUACAAGGCGUGAAACCUUCAACCACCUGACCUCAUGGUUAGAGGAUGCCCGGCAGCACUCUAGUUCCAACAUGGUUAUCAUGCUCAUUGGGAAUAAGAG